UACAGAGGGUGCGAGCGUUGUUCGGAAUUAUUGGGCGUAAAGGGCGCGUAGGCGGUGCGGCAAGUCACCUGUGAAACCUCUGGGCUUAACCCAGAGCCUGCAGGCGAAACUGCCGUGCUGGAGUGUGGGAGAGGUGCGUGGAAUUCCCGGUGUAGCGGUGAAAUGCGUAGAUAUCAGGAUGAACACCUGCGGUGUAGACGGCUUACUGGACGGUAACUGACGCUGAGGCACGAAAGCGUGGGUAGCAAACAGG
This 253-nucleotide ribosomal RNA is filed under the name uncultured bacterium. RNAcentral describes it as "partial 16S ribosomal RNA". It matches the Rfam family "Bacterial small subunit ribosomal RNA", at positions 524 to 776 of the family's 1533-position model. The record is from RNAcentral.